UACGGAGGGAGCUAGCGUUGUUCGGAAUUACUGGGCGUAAAGCGCACGUAGGCGGCUACUCAAGUCAGAGGUGAAAGCCCAGGGCUUAACCUUGGAACUGCCUUUGAAACUAGGUAGCUAGAAUUCUGGAGAGGCGGGUGGAAUUCCGAGUGUAGAGGUGAAAUUCGUAGAUAUUCGGAAGAACACCAGUGGCGAAGGCGGCCCGCUGGACAGAUAUUGACGCUGAGGUGCGAAAGCGUGGGGAGCAAACAGG
RNAcentral lists this ribosomal RNA (253 nucleotides) under uncultured bacterium. Its description in RNAcentral is "partial 16S ribosomal RNA". It matches the Rfam family "Bacterial small subunit ribosomal RNA", at positions 524 to 776 of the family's 1533-position model. The record is from RNAcentral.